ACCGCUUAAUACGUCCGGUUGUAUGCUAUUGACCUCCGUUGUUUCUAAAUUUCGAUUAUCCGAAGAUCCCGUGAGGGCUCACGACUCGAUUCUUAGUCGAUAGACCGGUUAUUGACUUGGUUCUUCGCAAACUGUCCGACGAACGAUGAGGUUUCACAUGAUCUUCCGUCAAAAUUGAUAACAACGUAGAAAUGUAUAAAUAAUCUCUGAUAACAAUAAUUCGGUCAUAAAAUAUCAAAAAUUAUGGAUAAAUAUUCGGAUUUCGCGGCAUUCGUACAUUUCACGAAAGAGAGAAGAAGAAUCAAAUAUAUACACGCGCAAGAUACGUUCGCAGCUGAAAUCACUUUAAUCCCGUUUCUGUACUGGCAAUUUUUAAUCCCAAGAUAAAAAUACGAGAUGCUUUUUGUACUGUUUAUAUUUUUUCUCGCAUAUCUGUUUAAUAUCUUCUCAGUGUGUUGCGCAGUUGUAUAUCCGCAUAAGAAAUAUAUUCAAUAUAUUAUCUCAGCUAGUUUCUUCAAGUUCGUCUCUUCGCAGCGCGCCGAGGCUGAUUGUGAGUGAAAUAAAAAUUAUUCUCUUGUUGAGGAGAGAAGCGUCACGUGCAUAAUUACGACGUCUCCGAUAAUCCGGAAAAGCUGGCACGCCGAUCUCGUCGGAUGGCGACGCUGCGCGUCAGGGACAAAGAGGCACAGCAGACAAGAUUCCGCGUUUUGCGAUACGGAGUAAAUUCUUCUAACGCAAGAAAUGGACAUAUAUAUAUA
This is a long non-coding RNA of Wasmannia auropunctata (little fire ant), 758 nucleotides long. RefSeq lists it as uncharacterized. NCBI's taxonomy places the organism in Eukaryota, Metazoa, Arthropoda, Insecta, Hymenoptera, Formicidae. The record is from RefSeq and is a predicted model, not a curated record. The transcript is spliced from 3 exons.